RNAcentral lists this ribosomal RNA (465 nucleotides) under uncultured bacterium. Its description in RNAcentral is "partial 16S ribosomal RNA". It matches the Rfam family "Bacterial small subunit ribosomal RNA", at positions 28 to 507 of the family's 1533-position model. The record is from RNAcentral.
GACGAACGCUGGCGGCGUGCUUAACACAUGCAAGUCGAACGGAAAGGCCCCUUUGGGGGUACUCGAGUGGCGAACGGGUGAGUAACACGUGAGUAACCUGCCCUUGACUUCGGGAUAACUUCAGGAAACUGGGGCUAAUACCGGAUAGGAAUCCUUGCUGCAUGGUGGGGGUUGGAAAGCUUCGGCGGUUUUGGAUGGACUCACGGCUUAUCAGCUUGUUGGUGGGGUAGUGGCUUACCAAGGCUUUGACGGGUAGCCGGCCUGAGAGGGCGACCGGCCACAUUGGGACUGAGAUACGGCCCAGACUCCUACGGGAGGCAGCAGUGGGGAAUAUUGCACAAUGGGCGGAAGCCUGAUGCAGCAACGCCGCGUGCGGGAUGACGGCCUUCGGGUUGUAAACCGCUUUCAGCAGGGGCGAAGCUUGUGGUGACGGUACCUGCAGAAGAAGCACCGGCUAACUACGUG